This 497-nucleotide ribosomal RNA is filed under the name uncultured bacterium. Its description in RNAcentral is "partial 16S ribosomal RNA". It matches the Rfam family "Bacterial small subunit ribosomal RNA", at positions 28 to 507 of the family's 1533-position model. The record is from RNAcentral.
GAUGAACGCUGGCGGCGUGCCUAAUACAUGCAAGUCGAGCGAACAGAUGAGGAGCUUGCUCCUCUGACGUUAGCGGCGGACGGGUGAGUAACACGUGGAUAACCUACCUAUAAGACUGGGAUAACUUCGGGAAACCGGAGCUAAUACCGGAUAAUAUAUUGAACCGCAUGGUUCAAUAGUGAAAGACGGUUUUGCUGUCACUUAUAGAUGGAUCCGCGCCGCAUUAGCUAGUUGGUAAGGUAACGGCUUACCAAGGCAACGAUGCGUAGCCGACCUGAGAGGGUGAUCGGCCACACUGGAACUGAGACACGGUCCAGACUCCUACGGGAGGCAGCAGUAGGGAAUCUUCCGCAAUGGGCGAAAGCCUGACGGAGCAACGCCGCGUGAGUGAUGAAGGUCUUCGGAUCGUAAAACUCUGUUAUUAGGGAAGGACAAAUGUGUAAGUAACUAUGCACGUCUUGACGGUACCUAAUCAGAAAGCCACGGCUAACUACGUG